AACGAACGCUGGCGGCAUGCCUAACACAUGCAAGUCGAACGAGACCUUCGGGUCUAGUGGCGCACGGGUGCGUAACGCGUGGGAACCUGCCCUUAGGUUCGGGAUAACUCCCCGAAAGGGGUGCUAAUACCGGAUAAUGUCUUCGGACCAAAGAUUUAUCGCCUUUGGAUGGGCCCGCGUUGGAUUAGCUAGUUGGUAGGGUAAAAGCCUACCAAGGCGACGAUCCAUAGCUGGUCUGAGAGGAUGAUCAGCCACACUGGGACAGGGACACGGCCCAGACACGUGCGGGGGGGGGAGAAGGGGGAAAUAGGGGAAGGGGCGAGAGCCAGAGACCCCGCGGCCGCGUGAGAGUGGUGAGGGUUUGAGGGUUAAAACGCUUUUUACCAGGGGGUAAAGACGAGAACCGGGAGAGAAGAACCCGCGGAAAACCCG
This 432-nucleotide ribosomal RNA is filed under the name uncultured bacterium. RNAcentral describes it as "partial 16S ribosomal RNA". It matches the Rfam family "Bacterial small subunit ribosomal RNA", at positions 29 to 504 of the family's 1533-position model. The record is from RNAcentral.